Molecule: long non-coding RNA, 1034 nt
Organism: Symphalangus syndactylus (siamang)
Lineage: Eukaryota; Metazoa; Chordata; Mammalia; Primates; Hylobatidae
Source: RefSeq, a predicted model, not a curated record
CCUCGAGCACUUCACCACCUGAAGAGCAGAACCAGACGCCUCCCACUCUUCGGACGUCGGCUUUUGGCUGCCGCUUUAGAGGACCCUGGCGAGAGUGGUGGGAAGACCCCCAGGGCGGGUGUCAGAUGCUCGGGUUCCACUCAACACUCUGCUCCUGCCAGGUAUCACAGGUCUUUUGCAGCUGCCUUGGGCCCUUAGCGCCCACGUCCCAGACUCAGACAUCUUGGCUCAGAUCUUGGAUGAACCUAGCAGCCUUGAGGACAGACAGGUGGGGAAAGAAGAAAGUCUAACUGAUGCUAAGGCCACCAGCCUGGGGAACUGGGGGAGGGAAUGGGGAGGUGGAAGAAGACAGACGGUUUGGAGGAGACGAGGAGGAAUCUGGGUUGGCACAGAGCCAGAGAGGAAGGUGUUAUGGACUACCCUUCAUCGCCUGCUCCAGAUCCGAUGUGAACCCUCGUGUUUGGUGAAGGCAAGCUCCACGUCUUGCUUAGGCCACACCCCCAACAUGCAUUCCUUCACUCAGUGUUUUCCAAGCACCCCUGUGUGCCAAGCAUUGUGUUAAGCUCUGUGGCAGAAAACAGAGAUGCCCAAGACACAGCCCAGCCACCAAGGAUGUGGUCAUGUGAAACCUUCUAUGAGUGGCAUUCUUUCACGUGCGUUCAAUUGUUUAAUUUUCAUCACAGCCUCUGUGACCUACACAUUAGCCUCAUGUUAAUAGUGACAGAAGGUAGCAUGACUAAACCCAGGGUCACAGAGCUGGUUUGGCACAAAUCUCUGGUCAGCAAGACAGGGCCACCUGGGUGAAGCAUCCACAUGCCUGAGAUUGGCAGGCGAGCACCCCACUUCCCCUGGAAGGCCUUCCAGGACUGGCUGGGAUAAGUCCCUUUCCUGUGCACCUUCAGCACUGUGCACAUCACCCUCGGGCCUCUCCUUACCCUUGACCAUGGGCUCAGUGCCCGCCAAGUGCCAGGCGCACAACCUAGUGCAGUGAUUCCUAAAUUUUUUGGUUUCAGGACCCCAAGAGCUUUUGUUUA